Small nucleolar RNA from Megalops cyprinoides (Indo-Pacific tarpon), 84 nucleotides. RefSeq annotates it as small nucleolar RNA SNORD35. The transcript has a single exon. The record is from RefSeq and is a predicted model, not a curated record. Lineage: Eukaryota; Metazoa; Chordata; Actinopteri; Elopiformes; Megalopidae.
UGCAAGUGAUGUCUAUCUCACGAUGGUCUUCCUAGCCAGCAUGGCUCUGAGGACACUGCCUUAUGGCAACACUGAUGCAGCUCA